AUUCGGGAGAAUAAUAUCAUCGUAGCUCCAUUGCUCUUGAUCUUGAAGUUUAAUGGUUGUAAUGGUAUAGAAUUUCUCAAUAUUUUUGCCCCGAGACUCAAAUUGUUGUCCAUUAUUCGAAGUCAUUAUGUGGAUUUAAAGUUCGUUAAAGCCUAUCCCGAGCUGCAAAUGUUGAGAAUUAUGGUGGGCGAAAAAAUUCAAGAAUAUGAAUUUUGGAGACGGUUUAAUUUUUCAGAUUUAAUUUGUUCAUUCGCUAAACUUGUCGCACUUUGCUUCAACAGUUUUUUCUUCAAGUUUAUAGUUCCAGAUUUAGUGCCAAAAAGGCUUGGGGCUACACUACAACAUUUUCAGCUGCUAUUUUCUUGCUUCAAAGCGCACCUAAAUUGCAUGAAAUUAUGAUCAUGCAAGAACAUGUAACUCCCAGGAAUGAUGACAUAGAGGCAGUGACAAAAUAUUUGACAAUACCUGACUAUGUGGAUAAUGAUCUCGUGGCACUUAAAAAGAUAAAGUUAGAAAAUUUUCAGAAUUCCUUAGCUGAACUAUUUUUUAUGAAGCUUUUGCUGGCUCGUUGUCCUUCACUUGUAAAGGUGACAGUUAAGUCAUCGAGAACACUGGAGAGUGAUGAAUUUUACUCUGAAUCGCUGCAGUUUCCUCCAGCAUCACCAAAUUGUCAACAUAAUUCUUGAAGAA
Molecule: long non-coding RNA, 690 nt
Organism: Solanum dulcamara
Lineage: Eukaryota; Viridiplantae; Streptophyta; Magnoliopsida; Solanales; Solanaceae
Exons: 3
Source: RefSeq, a predicted model, not a curated record